This 798-nucleotide ribosomal RNA is filed under the name uncultured Porphyromonadaceae bacterium. RNAcentral describes it as "bacterial SSU rRNA". It matches the Rfam family "Bacterial small subunit ribosomal RNA", at positions 8 to 795 of the family's 1533-position model. Lineage: Bacteria; Pseudomonadati; Bacteroidota; Bacteroidia; Bacteroidales; Porphyromonadaceae. The record is from RNAcentral.
AGAGUUUGAUUAUGGCUCAGGAUGAACGCUAGCGAUAGGCCUAACACAUGCAAGUCGAGGGGCAGCACAUGAAGUAGCAAUACGGAUGGUGGCGACCGGCGCACGGGUGAGUAACGCGUAUGCAACCUGCCUACAACAGGGGAAUAACCCGUUGAAAGACGGACUAAUACCCCAUAACACAGGGAUCCCGCAUGGGAAUAUUUGUUAAAGAUUUAUCGGUUGUAGAUGGGCAUGCGUUCCAUUAGCUUGUUGGUGAGGUAACGGCUCACCAAGGCAACGAUGGAUAGGGGAACUGAGAGGUUUAUCCCCCACACUGGUACUGAGACACGGACCAGACUCCUACGGGAGGCAGCAGUGAGAAAUAUUGGUCAAUGGACGCAAGUCUGAACCAGCCACGUCGCGUGAAGGAAGACGGCCCUACGGGUUGUAAACUUCUUUUGUAAGGGAAUAAAGUGUAGUACGUGUACUAUUUUGCAUGUACCUUACGAAUAAGGAUCGGCUAACUCCGUGCCAGCAGCCGCGGUAAUACGGAGGAUCCGAGCGUUAUCCGGAUUUAUUGGGUUUAAAGGGUGCGCAGGCGGGAGAUUAAGUCGGCGGUGAAAUUUUGCAGCUCAACUGUAAAAGUGCCUUCGAAACUGGUUUCCUUGAGUGUGGAUGAAGUAGGCGGAAUUUGUGGUGUAGCGGUGAAAUGCAUAGAUAUCACGAGGAACUCCGAUUGCGCAGGCAGCUUACUAAACCAUAACUGACGCUCAGGCACGAAGGCGUGGGGAUCAAACAGGAUUAGAUACCCUGGUAGUC